GAUGAAGAACGUAGCAAAAUGCGAUAAGUAAUGUGAAUUGCAGAAUUCAGUGAAUCAUCGAAUCUUUGAACGCACAUUGCGCCCGCCAGUAUUCUGGCGGGCAUGCCUGUUCGAGCGUCAUUACAACCCUCAGGCCCCCGGGCCUGGCGUUGGGGAUCGGCGGAAGCCCCCUGCGGGCACAACGCCGUCCCCCAAAUACAGUGGCAGUCCCGCCGCAGCUUCCAUUGCGUAGUAGCUAACACCUCGCAACUGGAGAGCGGCGCGGCCACGCCGUAAAACACCCAACUUCUGAAUGUUGACCUCGAAUCAGGUAGGAAUACCCGCUGAACUUAAGCAUAUCAAUAAGCGGAGGA
Molecule: unclassified non-coding RNA, 353 nt
Filed under: soil metagenome
Description: partial contains 5.8S ribosomal RNA, internal transcribed spacer 2, and large subunit ribosomal RNA
Rfam family: 5.8S ribosomal RNA (bases 1-120)
Source: RNAcentral